RNAcentral lists this antisense RNA (75 nucleotides) under Streptomyces alboflavus. Its description in RNAcentral is "ASpks TB sRNA". It matches the Rfam family "ASpks TB sRNA". The record is from Rfam by way of RNAcentral. Lineage: Bacteria; Bacillati; Actinomycetota; Actinomycetes; Kitasatosporales; Streptomycetaceae.
CUUGACAGAGCCGAGCCACAGCGGCCGGUCGUCGGCACGGUUCUGGCCGUAGGUGGCGAGGAGCGCCUGGGCCUC